This 446-nucleotide ribosomal RNA is filed under the name uncultured bacterium. RNAcentral's name for it is "bacterial SSU rRNA". It matches the Rfam family "Bacterial small subunit ribosomal RNA", at positions 15 to 507 of the family's 1533-position model. The record is from RNAcentral.
GAUCAUGGCUCAGAACGAACGCUGGCGGCAUGCCUAACACAUGCAAGUCGAGCGGGGACUUCGGUCCUAGCGGCGGACGGGUGAGUAACGCGUGGGAACGUGCCCUUUGCUUCGGAAUAGCCCCUGGAAACGGGGAGUAAUACCGGAUGUGCCCUUUGGGGGAAAGAUUUAUCGGCAAAGGAUCGGCCCGCGUUGGAUUAGGUAGUUGGUGGGGUAAUGGCCUACCAAGCCGACGAUCCAUAGCUGGUUUGAGAGGAUGAUCAGCCACACUGGGACUGAGACACGGCCCAGACUCCUACGGGAGGCAGCAGUGGGGAAUCUUAGACAAUGGGCGCAAGCCUGAUCUAGCCAUGCCGCGUGAGCGAUGAAGGCCUUAGGGUUGUAAAGCUCUUUCGUGGGGGAAGAUAAUGACGGUACCCCAAGAAGAAGCCCCGGCUAACUCCGUG